GACGAACGCUGGCGGCGUGCUUAACACAUGCAAGUCGAACGGGAAGGGCCGGCUUUUGUGGGGGGCGCGAGUGGCGAACGGGAGAGCAACACGUGAGUAGGCUGACCACGACUGGGGGAGAACGUCAGGAAACCGGGGGUAAUACCGGAAAGGAGGGCAUGCGGCAGGGGGGGGGCUGGAGAGUGUCGGCGGUGGGGGAUGGACACGCGGCUUCUCAGCGUGUUGGUGGGGUAGUGGCUUACCAAGGCUUCGACGGGUAGGCGGCCGGGGAGGGUGACCGGCCACAUCGGGGCUACGGUGCGGCCGCGCCUCCUCCGGGAGGCAGCAGUGGGGAAUAUUGCACAAUGGGCGGCGGCCUGCUGAAGCAGCGCCGCGUCCUGGAUGUCGGCCUUCGGGUUGUAAUCCGCUUUCGCCUGUGACGAAGCGUCAGUGACGGUAAUGGGUAAAGAAGCACCGGCUAACUCCGUG
Molecule: ribosomal RNA, 468 nt
Filed under: uncultured bacterium
Lineage: Bacteria
Description: partial 16S ribosomal RNA
Rfam family: Bacterial small subunit ribosomal RNA
Source: RNAcentral